Molecule: ribosomal RNA, 820 nt
Filed under: uncultured bacterium
Lineage: Bacteria
Description: bacterial SSU rRNA
Rfam family: Bacterial small subunit ribosomal RNA
Source: RNAcentral
GAUCAGCUCGGUACUCGCGAAUGCUCUAGAUUAGAGUUUGAUCAUGGCUCACCAUUGAACGCUNGGCGUGCANGGCUUAACACAUGCAAGUCGAGCGGGGAGGGUAGCUUGCUACCUAACCUAGCGGCGGACGGGUGAGUAAUGCUUAGGAAUCUGCCAUUUAGUGGGGGACAACAUUCCUGAAAGGAAUGCUAAUACCGCAUACGUCCUACGGGAGAAAGCAGGGGAUCUUCGGACCUUGCGCUAAAUGAUGAGCCUAAGUCGGAUUAGCUAGUUGGUGGGGUAAAGGCCUACCAAGGCGACGAUCUGUAGCGGGUCUGAGAGGAUGAUCCGCCACACUGGGACUGAGACACGGCCCAGACUCCUACGGGAGGCAGCAGUGGGGAAUAUUGGACAAUGGGCGGAAGCCUGAUCCAGCCAUGCCGCGUGUGUGAAGAAGGCCUUUUGGUUGUAAAGCACUUUAAGCGAGGAGGAGGCUCUCCUAGUUAAUACCUAGGAUGAGUGGACGUUACUCGCAGAAUAAGCACCGGCUAACUCUGUGCCAGCAGCCGCGGUAAUACACGAGGGUGCGAGCGUUAAUCGGAUUUACUGGGCGUAAAGCGUGCGUAAGGCGGCUUUUAACGUCGGAUGUGAAUCCCCCGAGCUUAACUUGGGGAAUUGNUUCGGAUACUGGGAGCUAGAAGUAUUGGGAGCAGGAUGGGUGACUUCCACGGUGGUNGCCGUAAGCGUAGAUCUGGGGGAUNCCCUGGGAGGNGGGCACCUUGGNCUAAUAUGCGUUAGGUUCAAGCUGGGGCGUUCUUUCNUUUCUCCUUCUCUCGUU